GAUGUAUCUCAACGGCUCACCUGAUCAAGGAGUAUGGAUGGGCUGCAAUGGAAGCACUGAAGUGUUGGGAUACUGUGAUGCGGAUUGGGCUGGUGAUAGAGCAGACAGGAGAUCAACCACAGGCUAUUGCACAUUCAUUGGAGGCAACUUGGUGACUUGGAAGAGUAAGAAGCAGAAGGUGGUGUCUUGCUCAAGUGCAGAAGCUGAGUAUAGAGCAAUGCUGAAGCUCACCAACGAGUUAGUAUGGAUCAAAGGCAUCUUGAAGCAUUUGGAGAUUGAUCAAGCCACGCCAAUGACCAUGUAUUGUGACAACCAAGCCGCCAUUCACAUUGCCUCCAACUCGGUGUUCCAUGAGAGAACCAAGCACAUUGAAGUUGAUUGUCACAAGGUGAGGCAGAUGAUCAUCUUAGGAGUCAUCUGUUGAGUUGAGCUAAGUAUAUGUAUGAAGAGCUAAGGAGUUGAAGAGGAAAGGAGAUGAGGAAGCUUAAGGGAGUUUAGGGAGAGCAUGGUACGGACGUCCGUACAAGGCCGUACAAGCCGUACAGUCCGUACCAUCCAAGCCUCAACCUAAACUUACCUUGCACAAGUGAAACGGUAACUAUGGAAGAGUUACUCAAGUGGAGAAGGAUCAGACCGUUUAAGGGAUAAGGGACGCGCAUUGCCAGGCUGGGACAGGCUGGAAAGCUAAAGCAACUUUAGUCCAAGAUGCCAUAAGCGUGUGAUGCCUCUUAGUGGCUAAUUUGAAUCCUUUACCUUGACUUCACAUGCUUACCCCUUAACCUUGCGCUUUGUAAACCCUAGUAGCUCUCCUAUAUAUUGUAACUCAUCAACACUAAUAAAGUUUAUGCAGUUUGAGUCUCUCUAAUCUCUUAGACACUAUGGUUCUCUCUUAGACUCUAAACGUUUCUCAAAGUUACUUAGUCUUUCAUAAUCUCUUCUAAACUUCACCUAAAACUCUCACUUACAUUCUAGUUACUCUAAAGAUCUCUUAAUCUCAUAUGGUAUCAGAGCCAGGUUCAUUAGAAUCUGGGGUUUGAUCUUUAGAGAGUUACAAGGCUUUGAAGCUACACGCGAGUAGCUUUGAAGGUAUUGGAGCUGCGCUACGUUCUGUGUUUGUGCGUGAUUCAAGACUCAAGAUUUCAUCAGAUUCAAGCUGUUCAAGUCAAGCUGAGUAAAGAUGGAGCAUGGGUUAAGCAUGAGGAUGAAGGUGGCGGUUACUUUCAAGGGUAGCAACUACCUUGUGUGGUCUCGGAUGGUGAAGACUGCGGUGGGGAGUAAGGGUUUGUGGGGGCACAUCACAACAGGGGAGGCUCCGAAACUCAUUACUCAGGGAGGAGAUCAAGAAGAGGUCUCCAAUGAAGCGGCUGUGGAGAAAUGGCAACAAGAAGACAUGCUGGUGAUGACGGUUCUACACGCAUCCUUGGACCCAGCUAUCUUGGAUGCUUACAGCUACUGUGAAUCAGCCAAAGAGCUGUGGGACACGCUGAAGAAGGUGUAUGGGAACACUUCCAACCUCAGCCGUGUGUUUGAAGUGAAGCUAGCGAUCAACCGUCUUGCACAAGAGGACAUGGAGUUCACUAAGCACUUGGGGAGGUUCAGGUCCUUAUGGUCAGAGCUGGAGAUGCUGAGGCCGAGCACAACUGAUCCAGAUCAGCUGAAUGAGAGGCGCGAGCAAGACAAGGUCUUUGGGUUGCUUCUCACACUGAACCCGGCCUACACUCAACUCAUUCAGCACAUGUUGAGGUCAGACAAGCUUCCGGACCUUGAGGAGGUGUGUGCGCAAAUCCAAAGGGAGCAGGGAUCUAUGGGGUUGUUUGGAGGAAAGGGGGAGCUCUCUCUUGCCAAUCAAGCAGCUCAUGAGGACUCAACCGAGGCUCCACAAGCAAACAAGGCAUCUCACGGGAAGUAUGAGGACAGGAAGUUCAAUGGCAACUGUGAUCAUUGCAAGAAGCAUGGUCAUAAGAAGAGCCAAUGCUGGAUACUUCACCCACACCUCAAGCCGGCCAAGUUCAUGAAGGAGCGUGAGGGAAGGGCAAAUGUGACUGAAGGUUCAAGUGGAGCUGGCACCAGCAAGAUGAGUGAAGUGGAUGGGCUUGGAGGCAAUGAUGGGAAUGGGAAGUCUCUUGUGGCUUACACUGGCGCCUCAAGCUCACGCAGCAAUGAUGACUACAUCAAGAGAUCAGACCUUGAUGCACUCUUCAAAAUGCUAAAGGAAAACGGUAACACUUAUGGUUAUUCCUUUGGAGCUUCUAUGAUUGCAUAUAAGGAUGAUCACUUGAUUAGAGAACUAGUAGAACGGUUAGAAACUAGAAUGAGUAUAGAAAUGCCCACAUUGCUAGAACUGAUAGGAUGCAUCCAUUACUUAGUAAUCUAUGUCAUAAUGCUAAACGAGUAGGUAAACCAUUGAUUGUUGAUUCUGGUGCAUCACAUCAUAUGAUAAGUGAUGAGAACUUGAUUAAGGAUAUAGAACCUACACAUGGGCAUGUGAUGAUAGCAAAUGGGGAUAAGAUACCUAUUAGAGGAAUAGGAAAGCUUAAGUUGUUUAACAAAGAAUCUAGAGCUUUUUACAUGCCUGAAUUCACAUCAAACCUAUUAUCUGUGAAGAAAUGUACUAAUGAUUUACAAUGCAAUGUUAUCUUUAGUCCUAAUGAUGUGAAGUUUCAGGAUAUUGAGAGCAGCAGAUUGAUUGGGAAAGGGGUGACUAAGGGAGAUCUCUAUAUGCUUGAAGAACUCACUUCUGUUCCUGAUUAUAGUUGCUCAUUUACUUCUGCUUCUUUGUUGAAUAAAAAUGCAUUGUGGCAUGCUAGAGUAGGACACCCUCAUGUUAAAGCUUUGAACUUAAUGGUACCAGGUGUUGUGUUUGAGAACAAAGAUUGUGAAGCUUGUAUUUUAGGCAAGCAUUGUAGAACUGUGUUUCAAAAGUCUACUACUAUCUAUGAUAACUGCUUUGAUUUAAUUCAUUCUGAUGUGUGGACUGCCCCUUGCUUAUCUAGAGAUAGUUAUAAGUACUUUGUCACAUUCAUUGAUGAAAAAUCCAAAUACACCUGGUUAACCUUAAUUCAGACCAAAGAUAGGGUACUUGAUGCAUUUAGGAACUUUCAAACUUAUGUAACUAACCAUUAUCAUGCUAAGAUUAAAAUUUUGAGAUCAGAUAAUGGAGGAGAGUACACAAGUCAUGCAUUCAAGGAACACUUAUCACAACAUGGGAUCCUACAUCAAACAAGCUGUCCGUAUACUCCACAGCAAAAUGGAGUGGCUGAGAGGAAGAAUAGGCACCUCAUGGAAGUGGCAAGGUCUCUGAUGUUUCAGAGUAAUGUUCCAAAGAGAUUCUGGAGUGAUGCGGUUGCCACUGCUUGUUACUUGAUCAACAGAACUCCAACCAAGGUUCUGAAUGAGAAGGCUCCAUUUGAAGUUCUGAACAGGUACAAACCAGUGCUUGAUUACUUGCGAGUCUUUGGAUGUCUAUGCUUUGUGCUCAAACCAGGAGAGAUGAUCAACAAGCUAGAAGCAAGAAGUACUAAGGCUGUGUUCAUAGGAUACUCAGCUACACAGAAAGGAUACAAAUGCUAUGACCCUAUAGCAAGGAGAGUUCUUGUAUCUAGAGAUGUGAAGUUCUUGGAAGAUAGAGGAUACUAUGAAGAAAAGAACCAAGAAGACUUGAAGGACUUAACAUCAGACAAGGCCACCACCUUGCGGAUCAUCCUUGAAGGUCUUGGAAUCAGUACAUCCCAGGAUCCAAGAGAUCACGCAACAACACCUCCUGAAGUUGGUUCACCAUCCCACCUUGAUCAUGAGGGAGGAGAGACACAUGAGGAGGAGCCUACGCAAGAGACUAACCAAGAUGAAGGAGAAGAGAGCAUAGGCUCUGAUGGUCAUGGGCAUGAUCAUGGUGUGAUACAAACACCUUCUCAAGAUGAAGUGGUAGAAGAACAACAGGAAGAAGAACCGGUUGUGCAGCCACUAAGAAGGAGUACAAGGAUAAGGAAGGAUCCUUCCAGUUGGGUAAACACGAGAGUGUACUACAAUGCCCAAGCUGUGGAGCAUCCUUCUCAAGCCGUGUGCUCCUUUGCUCAAUAUCCAGAAGCACAUUGCGCUUUCAUGGUAAACUUGGAUGAGAAUCACAUCCCAAGAAGCUAUGAAGAGGCAAUAAAGGAUAAAGAAUGGAAAGAGUCAGUAGGAGAUGAAGCAGGAGCUAUGAUCAAGAAUGAUACAUGGUAUGAGAGUGAGUUACCAAAAGGGAAGAAGGCUGUGACUAGUAGAUGGAUCUUCACAAUCAAGUACAAAGCGGAUGGAAAGAUUGAGAGGAAGAAGUCAAGACUGGUUGCAAGAGGCUUUACUCAAACCUAUGGAGAGGAUUAUGUUGAGACAUUUGCACCAGUAGCUAAGUUGCAUACAAUCCGAAUUGUAUUAAGCUUGGCUGUGAACCUUGGAUGGGGCUUAUGGCAAAUGGAUGUGAAGAAUGCAUUCCUACAAGGGGAACUUGAGGAUGAAGUAUAUAUGCAUCCCCCACCAGGCUUGGAACACUUAGUGAAGAAGGGAAAUGUGUUGAGACUGAAGAAGGCUAUCUAUGGGUUGAAGCAAUCACCAAGAGCUUGGUACAACAAGCUGAGCACAACUCUGAAUGGCCGAGGCUUCAAGAAGUCUGAACUAGAUCACACUCUCUUCACACUCACAACUCCCUCAGGUAUGAUUGCACUCCUUGUGUAUGUUGAUGAUAUCAUUAUCACAGGGAGUGAUAAGGAAGGUAUCAUUGCAACCAAGGAGUUUCUUAAGUCCAUGUUUGAGAUUAAAGACUUGGGAGAGAUGAAAUACUUUCUUGGGAUUGAGAUAUGUAGAUCCAAGGAAGGUUUAUUCAUGUCCCAAAGGAAGUAUACACUUGAUCUCUUGAAAGGUGCAGGGGCUUAUGGGGGCAAGACAGCAAGGAUGCCUAUGGAGGAUGGCUACAAAGUUCCACGAGAGGGGGAGAUUGAAGACAGCAAACCUUAUCAGGAUCCUAAACUCUAUAGAAAACUAGUUGGCAAAUUGAUUUAUCUUACUAUAACUAGACCUGACAUUUGUUUUGCUGUGAAUCAGGUGAGUCAACACAUGCAAGUGCCUAAGGAACAUCACUGGCACAUGGUGGAGAGGAUCUUGAUGUAUCUCAACGGCUCACCUGAUCAAGGAGUAUGGAUGGGCUGCAAUGGAAGCACUGAAGUGGUGGGAUACUGUGAUGCGGAUUGGGCUGGUGAUAGAGCAGACAGGAGAUCAACCACAGGCUAUUGCACAUUCAUUGGAGGCAACUUGGUGACUUGGAAGAGUAAGAAGCAGAAGGUGGUGUCUUGCUCAAGUGCAGAAGC
RNAcentral lists this long non-coding RNA (5336 nucleotides) under Brassica rapa (field mustard). RNAcentral describes it as "long non-coding RNA (BRAP_LNC008825)". Lineage: Eukaryota; Viridiplantae; Streptophyta; Magnoliopsida; Brassicales; Brassicaceae. The record is from RNAcentral.